Molecule: long non-coding RNA, 2521 nt
Organism: Acanthochromis polyacanthus (spiny chromis)
Lineage: Eukaryota; Metazoa; Chordata; Actinopteri; Pomacentridae
Exons: 2
Source: RefSeq, a predicted model, not a curated record
GUCGAUAGUUUUUGGAACACUAUCCCUAAUUAUCUUUUUCAGAAAAUAGGUGGCCUUAAUUUUCUCUUUCUAAUAGGAAAACUACCAAUCAAACUUGAAAACUUUCAUCAUCAAGUUUUAUUGUGCUGGCAGCUUCUCUACAAACACAAUUACUCUCCUCACCACUGUAUCUUAUGGAACAACUCUUAUAUUACACACAGAAAUAAGACUUUGUACUUGAACAAUUGGUUUAUGAACAAUGUAAACACUGUAAAGCAACUCUUGAAUGAUAAUGGUGAGUUUUAUAACUAUGAGGCAUUCGUAGACACUUAUCAUUUGGAGGUUUCCAGGCAAGAGUUUCAUACUGUGAUUACAAAAUAAAAAUCCUUGCUUGUAACAUUCAGAGUAUCACGCUCUCUGUUUUGGAGAGCCCUAUUUCCAUAAAUGGCAUGGAUUUGUUAAAUAAAAACUGCUCAAAUAAUUUUAUUAGAAGUGGUCUAGAGCAUAUCACAGCUCCAGCUUGUAAGUAUCGAUCAGUAUGUCUGAAUAGAAAACAGUGGAACACAAUCUUUUUAAUGCCUCACAGAUAUAUACUCACAAAUACAAUAAAAGAGUUUCUUUAUAAGAUUACCCACAGAUACUAUCCUGUUAAAGCAAAUGUAUGUCGUUUUAUGUCAAACAUAAGUAACCGGUGCACUUUUUGUAAUUGUGAAGGAGAAACUGUUGAGUAUAUAUUUGUUGACUGUUUUCACACCACUUCCUUUUGGUUCCAUUUAGAAAGAUAUCUCGCAAGAAUAUUUAAAAAAGAAACUAUGCUCAAGAGAACAGGUAUUUUAUUUUACUAUAACAACCCUAAUUUCUCUGGUGAUGAAAUAUAUAUCAUUAACCUGAUUUGUAUACUAGCAAAAUUUUUUAUGCAUAAAAUGAUUUGGAUUACGAAAUGACCCUCCUUUUAUGUAUUUGAAACUACAGAUUUCCAAAGUUACUUAAAUACUAUUGCAAAAUUAAAACAAAUGAAUAAAAAAUCUACAAAAACAUUAAGAAUGUUAGAUAAAUACAACUUUAUUACCCCUUCUUGACAGACUCUAUAUUUUUAUUUAUUUUUUCUUGUUAUGUGUUUCAUUAUGACUGUACGAUUAUUGCAAUUGCAAUGCAUGUGUCUUAAGUUUACAUUUGUAUGUUGUUUCUGCUUAAAAGAAAAUAAAGGAUGUUAAUUCUUUAAAAAAAAAGAGUCACCUCUAAGACCUCUAUUUAAUAAUAAAUGUAUAUGUUUAUGACUUUUAGACGUGCGUCUUCCCGUUAUGUAACCAUAUAUCUUAGGUUUAAACGUUUCCUACCAAAAAGUCACCACAUAUGUUUUCUCAACCCUAACCUGUCAACCAAACCAGCAUUCAGUAAAAAACUACAACGGCAUGCGGAAAUGUCCAGAAGUUGCAAUACACAGUGCUGUGCGCCGCCAUAUUGUUUUGUAGUUCCAAUGUGUUUUCUCUAUUAUGUGAAGUUAACACAAGAAUAUUCUAGAAUUUAUGUUAGGUAUGGAGGAUGGAGAACACACCCACUCAGUCAAAUGUUAGGUUUCCUAACGGUAAAAGGGCAAAAUCAUGUUUUCUUCAGGAUUUAUCACUUAUCAGUGGUGCCCUCGAUUGACAUUUUUUCAGGUUAUAGUAGUACAGGGGCCUAUUUCACGAAGCAGGUUUUACAAACUCUGAGUUUCUUCCUCAACUCUGAGUUGAUCUACUCUGAGAUAGAAAACUCUGAGUUUUCGGUUUCACAACGGCUGAUAUGAGUUGGGUUAAUUAACUUGGAGUAGUUUGACCCGGAGUUAUGCGCGUGCACCGCAAGUCUGAAAAGACAGCAUCAAUGGAACCCCGAUUCGACGAGUCACCAUGGAAACGGGGAAGCGAAAGGCUGCGUUUUUGAACUGGAAGUUUUUAACGCGCUCAUAUGGCGAGUUUGAACACGUUUUUAGAAAGAAGUGCAACACCGCUGCAGCUGCAAAAGAGAGAGAGACGGCGUGGAGAACAGCCCGGAUCAAUGCGAUGAAGAGGAUGAAACUGUGUCUGCUGCCUUUACAGAGGGGGAUCCAGAAAGGCAUACAGAGCUAUGUUACUGAUAGUUCUCUUCUCAUUCACAUUUUGGGUGGAAUAUAGAGUGUGACAUUUAGCCUACACUGAAGUAUUGCACAUUCUCAUCCUUUUUAACAGAGCAUGGCUGGACAGCAGCAGGAUGGUUCCUCAGCUUCCACUGCACAGACUGACACAGUGAGAUGGAUGUUCAGGAAACACCAGAGCUUCAUUCUGUGGAAUUCAUGUGCAACUGUAGAAUUGAAUGUCCUCUAUGUAUUCCCAGUUAUCAGUAAAACAGAUUUACAAACUGCAUUUGCUGAGAAAAAUCCAAAAAACAGAUUAGGAGGGCAGAUCUGGAAAUUGAAAUACUGGAGCACAAGUUAGAGGUGGUGAUGGUCACAGGUGAAUUAUGUUAACUACUGGAACAUGAACUGAACUAUCUUUUAUUUGUAGGAAAUAAAGAAGAGCAAAUGAAA